GUGAGACAGGUGCUGCAUGGCUGUCGUCAGCUCGUGUUGUGAAAUGUUGGGUUAAGUCCCGCAACGAGCGCAACCCUUAUCCUUUGUUGCCAGCGAUUAGGUCGGGAACUCAAAGGAGACUGCCAGUGAUAAACUGGAGGAAGGUGGGGAUGACGUCAAGUCAUCAUGGCCCUUACGACCAGGGCUACACACGUGCUUCAAUGGCGCAUACAAAGAGAAGCGUCCUCGC
This 229-nucleotide ribosomal RNA is filed under the name Salmonella enterica subsp. enterica serovar Anatum. Its description in RNAcentral is "partial 16S ribosomal RNA". It matches the Rfam family "Bacterial small subunit ribosomal RNA", at positions 1029 to 1258 of the family's 1533-position model. The record is from RNAcentral. Lineage: Bacteria; Pseudomonadati; Pseudomonadota; Gammaproteobacteria; Enterobacterales; Enterobacteriaceae.